GGCGAACGGGUGAGUAACGCGUGAGAAACCUGCCUUCAACAGGGGGAUAACACUCCCAACGGGGUGCUAAUACCGCAUGAGACCACGGAGUCGCAUGACUCUGAGGUCAAAGGUGGCCUCUGCUUGCAAGCUACCGGUUGAAGAUGGUCUCGCGUCCCAUUAGCUAGUUGGCGGGGUAAUGGCCCACCAAGGCGACGAUGGGUAGCUGGUCUGAGAGGAUGGUCAGCCACACUGGGACUGAGAUACGGCCCAGACUCCUACGGGAGGCAGCAGUCGAGAGGCUUCGGCAAUGGGGGAAACCCUGACCGAGCGACGCCGCGUGAGGGAUGAAGGCCCUUGGGUUGUAAACCUCUUGUGUUCGGGAAGAAGUGCGAUCAGGUGAACAAUCUGGUCGUUUGACGGUACCGGACGAAUAAGCUCCGGCUAACUCCGUGCCAGCCGCCGCGG
RNAcentral lists this ribosomal RNA (447 nucleotides) under uncultured bacterium. Its description in RNAcentral is "bacterial SSU rRNA". It matches the Rfam family "Bacterial small subunit ribosomal RNA", at positions 97 to 520 of the family's 1533-position model. The record is from RNAcentral.